UCCAGGCCCUACGGGGCGCAGCAGGCGCGAAACCUCCGCAAUGUGAGAAAUCGCGACGGGGGGAUCCCAAGUGCCAUUCUUAACGGGAUGGCUUUUCAUUAGUGUAAAGAGCUUUUGGAAUAAGAGCUGGGCAAGACCGGUGCCAGCCGCCGCGGUAACACCGGCAGCUCUAGUGGUAGCAGUUAUUAUUGGGCCUAAAGCGUCCGUAGCCGGUUUAAUAAGUCUCUGGUGAAAUCCUGUAGCUUAACUAUGGGAAUUGCUGGAGAUACUAUUAGACUUGAGAUCGGGAGAGGUUAGAGGUACUCCCAGGGUAGAGGUGAAAUUCUGUAAUCCUGGGAGGACCGCCUGUUGCGAAGGCGUCUAACUGGAACGAUUCUGACGGUGAGGGACGAAAGUUAGGGGCGCGAACCGGAUUAGAUACCCGGGUAGUCCUAACUGUAAACGAUGCGGACUUGGUGUUGGGAUGGCUUUGAGCUGUCUCAGUGCCGAAGGGAAGCUGUUAAGUCCGCCGCCUGGGAAGUACGGUCGCAAGACUGAAACUUAGAGGAAUUGGCGGGGGAGCACCACAACGCGUGGAGCCUGCGGUUUAAUUGGACUCAACGCCGGU
This 607-nucleotide ribosomal RNA is filed under the name uncultured Methanobrevibacter sp. Its description in RNAcentral is "bacterial SSU rRNA". It matches the Rfam family "Archaeal small subunit ribosomal RNA", at positions 315 to 922 of the family's 1478-position model. Lineage: Archaea; Methanobacteriati; Methanobacteriota; Methanobacteria; Methanobacteriales; Methanobacteriaceae. The record is from RNAcentral.